CCUACGGGCGGCUGCAGUGAGGAAUAUUGGUCAAUGGCCGGAAGGCUGAACCAGCCAUGCCGCGUGAAGGUCAGUGCUCUAUGGGCGUUAAACUUCUUUUGUGCGGGAGCAAUAAUGGUCACGUGUGGCCAGACGAGAGUACCGUACGAAUAAGCAUCGGCUAACUUCGUGCCAGCAGCCGCGGUAAUCCGGGGGAUGAAAGCGUGAUCCGGUUUUAAUGGGUUUAAAGGGUGCGUAGGCUGUGAGGUAAGUCAGCGGUGAAAUGCCCCCGCUCAACGGGGUGAAGUGCCAUUGAUACUGCCUUGCUGGAAUGCGGAUGCCGUAGGAGGAAUGUGUGGUGUAGCGGUGAAAUGCAUAGAUAUCACACAGAACACCGAUUGCGAAGGCAUCUCACGAAUCCGCGAUUGACGCUGAUGCACGAAAGCGUGGGUAUCAAACAGGAUUAGAUACCCUUGUAGUC
This 460-nucleotide ribosomal RNA is filed under the name uncultured bacterium. Its description in RNAcentral is "partial 16S ribosomal RNA". It matches the Rfam family "Bacterial small subunit ribosomal RNA", at positions 338 to 795 of the family's 1533-position model. The record is from RNAcentral.